Molecule: ribosomal RNA, 301 nt
Filed under: uncultured bacterium
Lineage: Bacteria
Description: partial 16S ribosomal RNA
Rfam family: Bacterial small subunit ribosomal RNA
Source: RNAcentral
CAGUAGCCGCGGUAAUACGAAGGGUGCAAGCGUUAAUCGGAAUUACUGGGUGUAAAGCGUGCGUAGGCGGUGAGUUAAGUCUGCUGUGAAAUCCCCGGGCUCAACCUGGGAAUGGCAGUGGAUACUGGCUCGCUAGAGUGUGUCAGAGGAUGGUGGAAUUCCCGGUGUAGCGGUGAAAUGCGCAGAGAUCGGGAGGAACAUCAGUGGCGAAGGCGGCCAUCUGGGACAACACUGACGCUGAGGUGCGAAAGCGUGGGGAGCAAACAGGAUUAGAUACCCCGGUAGUCCCUGUCUCUUAUAA